UACAGAGGGGGCAAGCGUUAUUCGGAAUUAUUGGGCGUAAAGGGCGCGUAGGCGGCCUGGCAAGUGGAAGGUGAAAUCCCUCGGCUUAACCGAGGAACUGCCCUCCAAACUGCUUGGCUUGAGUACGGGAGAGGUGAGUGGAAUUCCCAGUGUAGCGGUGAAAUGCGUAGAUAUCAGGAGGAACACCUGUGGUGUAGACAGCUUACUGGACCAUUUCUGACGCUGAGACACGAAAGCGUGGGUAGCAAACAGG
This 253-nucleotide ribosomal RNA is filed under the name uncultured bacterium. Its description in RNAcentral is "partial 16S ribosomal RNA". It matches the Rfam family "Bacterial small subunit ribosomal RNA", at positions 524 to 776 of the family's 1533-position model. The record is from RNAcentral.